UUACUUUCCUUUUAAUUUCUUUCAGGUAUUCAGUCUUCAGUUAGCCGCAGAGCUUACUACAUGAUGCAUUAUUGAAACAGAAGAGAAGCUGGGGGGUUAUCGACUCAUGUUUGAGGUUUCUGCCAAGAGAAAGGAGUGAGUCCUGCCUCCCUUUAGACAAGGGGAAUGGCAAGACAUUUCAGAUGUGGGGGAGCCUUGAUCUUCAGUGCUAUUUCUUUCCUAUUGUUGCCUGAAUCAGAAUCUCCCACUACAUCCAACAAUAGUGCUGUUCUCCCAAAAUGACAGAAGCACACGGAUUGAAAACGCUGCUGAAAAGAUUGUUGGAAGAUAGGAAAAGCACAUCUAAGCUUUGCCUAAGUGGAAAAAAGGAAAGGGAUGCUCUUUGGGCACAGUAGCAAGAGCAUAGGAAAGUUUCUGAUGUUCAUCAUUUGCUUAAAGCCCAAACUGGAUUCUGUUAUGGUAAACUAAAGCACUGCAGUAUUGUGA
Long non-coding RNA from Neopsephotus bourkii (Bourke's parrot), 486 nucleotides. RefSeq lists it as uncharacterized. NCBI's taxonomy places the organism in Eukaryota, Metazoa, Chordata, Aves, Psittaciformes, Psittacidae. The transcript has 2 exons. The record is from RefSeq and is a predicted model, not a curated record.